CGGGACACGUGGUAUCCUGUCUGAAUAUGGGGGGACCAUCCUCCAAGGCUAAAUACUCCUGACUGACCGAUAGUGAACCAGUACCGUGAGGGAAAGGCGAAAAGAACCCCGGCGAGGGGAGUGAAAAAGAACCUGAAACCGUGUACGUACAAGCAGUGGGAGCACAGAGCAAUCUGUGUGACUGCGUACCUUUUGUAUAAUGGGUCAGCGACUUAUAUUCUGUAGCAAGGUUAACCGAAUAGGGGAGCCGAAGGGAAACCGAGUCUUAACUGGGCGUUAAGUUGCAGGGUAUAGACCCGAAACCCGGUGAUCUAGCCAUGGGCAGGUUGAAGGUUGGGUAACACUAACUGGAGGACCGAACCGACUAAUGUUGAAAAAUUAGCGGAUGACUUGUGGCUGGGGGUGAAAGGCCAAUCAAACCGGGAGAUAGCUGGUUCUCCCCGAAAGCUAUUUAGGUAGCGCCUCGUGAAUUCAUCUCCGGGGGUAGAGCACUGUUUCGGCAAGGGGGUCAUCCCGACUUACCAACCCGAUGCAAACUGCGAAUACCGGAGAAUGUUAUCACGGGAGACACACGGCGGGUGCUAACGUCCGUCGUGAAGAGGGAAACAACCCAGACCGCCAGCUAAGGUCCCAAAGUCAUGGUUAAGUGGGAAACGAUGUGGGAAGGCCCAGACAGCCAGGAUGUUGGCUUAGAAGCAGCCAUCAUUUAAAGAAAGCGUAAUAGCUCACUGGUCGAGUCGGCCUGCGCGGAAGAUGUAACGGGGCUAAACCAUGCACCGAAGCUGCGG
Molecule: ribosomal RNA, 788 nt
Filed under: Escherichia coli
Lineage: Bacteria; Pseudomonadati; Pseudomonadota; Gammaproteobacteria; Enterobacterales; Enterobacteriaceae
Description: partial 23S ribosomal RNA
Rfam family: Bacterial large subunit ribosomal RNA
Source: RNAcentral